RNAcentral lists this ribosomal RNA (251 nucleotides) under uncultured bacterium. RNAcentral describes it as "partial 16S ribosomal RNA". It matches the Rfam family "Bacterial small subunit ribosomal RNA", at positions 525 to 775 of the family's 1533-position model. The record is from RNAcentral.
ACGGAGGAUCCGAGCGUUAUCCGGAUUUAUUGGGUUUAAAGGGUGCGUAGGCGGCCUUUUAAGUCAGCGGUGAAAGUCUGUGGCUCAACCAUAGAAUUGCCGUUGAAACUGGGGGGCUUGAGUAUGUUUGAGGCAGGCGGAAUGCGUGGUGUAGCGGUGAAAUGCAUAGAUAUCACGCAGAACCCCGAUUGCGAAGGCAGCCUGCCAAGCCAUUACUGACGCUGAUGCACGAAAGCGUGGGGAUCAAACAG